RNAcentral lists this ribosomal RNA (435 nucleotides) under uncultured bacterium. RNAcentral's name for it is "bacterial SSU rRNA". It matches the Rfam family "Bacterial small subunit ribosomal RNA", at positions 957 to 1391 of the family's 1533-position model. The record is from RNAcentral.
GAACGCGAAGAACCUUACCUGGCCUUGACAUGUACCGAAUUUACCAGAGAUGGUUUAGUGCUCGAAAGAGAACGGUAACACAGGUGCUGCAUGGCUGUCGUCAGCUCGUGUCGUGAGAUGUUGGGUUAAGUCCCGCAACGAGCGCAACCCUUGCCAAUAAUUGCCAUCAUUUAGUUGGGCACUUUAUUGGGACUGCCGAUGACAAAUCGGAGGAAGGUGGGGAUGACGUCAAGUCCUCAUGGCCCUUAUGGCCAGGGCUUCACACGUAAUACAAUGGUCGGUACAGAGGGUCGCCAACCCGCGAGGGGGAGCUAAUCCCAGAAAGCCGAUCGUAGUCCGGAUUGCAGGCUGCAACUCGCCUGCAUGAAGUCGGAAUCGCUAGUAAUCGCGGAUCAGCAUGUCGCGGUGAAUACGUUCCCGGGUCUUGUACACACC